AGAGAGAAAAUUGUAUAUCUUAGAGGUCUUCUGAUUACCUCUAUUUAUAGAUCAAGGUGGGAGCCAUAGAAGAGAAAAGUUGGAGGCCAUCCCGACUCUUUCGGAUGCGUCGUUUUGAAAUUUUAGAUCUAAUUUUCUAGGAUUAGACAGUUGUGAUUGCCUUAUUUGGCCCUUGGCCAACUGCUCCCAAUGGUUGUGCAAUUUAAAAAGAGUAUACGAGAGUCUUCUAUUAACUUUUUCAAAUAUAUCGAUCAAAGUAGGAGUUCGAGGG
RNAcentral lists this long non-coding RNA (271 nucleotides) under Elaeis guineensis (African oil palm). Its description in RNAcentral is "long non-coding RNA (EGUI_LNC038284)". The record is from RNAcentral. Lineage: Eukaryota; Viridiplantae; Streptophyta; Magnoliopsida; Arecales; Arecaceae.